RNAcentral lists this ribosomal RNA (253 nucleotides) under uncultured bacterium. RNAcentral describes it as "partial 16S ribosomal RNA". It matches the Rfam family "Bacterial small subunit ribosomal RNA", at positions 524 to 776 of the family's 1533-position model. The record is from RNAcentral.
UACAGAGGUGGCAAGCGUUGUUCGGAAUUACUGGGCGUAAAGGGCGCGUAGGCGGUCCGGUAAGUCCUGUGUGAAAUCCCUCGGCUCAACUGAGGAACUGCACGGGAGACUGCCGGGCUUGAGUUCGGGAGAGGGAAGCGGAAUUCCGGGUGUAGCGGUGAAAUGCGUAGAUAUCCGGAGGAACACCGGUGGCGAAGGCGGCAUCCUGGACCGAAACUGACACUGAGGCGCGAAAGCUAGGGGAGCAAACGGG